RNAcentral lists this long non-coding RNA (244 nucleotides) under Bos taurus (domestic cattle). RNAcentral's name for it is "long non-coding RNA NONBTAT026309". Lineage: Eukaryota; Metazoa; Chordata; Mammalia; Artiodactyla; Bovidae. The record is from RNAcentral.
CUCAGCUGACUGUUCUCGUCCAAUAACACUGUCAGCAAGCUUCUCUGUCACAGAGAGCAAUGAGACAUACUCAAGCCAUGGCUACUUGGCAUGCAGUCAUAAAUGGAUACUAUUUCACGGUAGUUACUGAGGUUAGGAUUUUAUUCUUCAAGAUAAUCUUCUCCUGUGUCUUUGUGGACACAGGAGUUGGAUUCAACUCCUCUUUAGUUAUACACUGAAAGGAACCAUAUACAGUAGCUCUGAU